GGCGGUUCGCUGCCAGUGAUGUCACAAGAAGUCCACUGAACCUUAUCAUUUAGAGGAAGGAGAAGUCGUAACAAGGUUUCCGUAGGUGAACCUGCGGAAGGAUCAUUGUCGAU
RNAcentral lists this ribosomal RNA (113 nucleotides) under Cynometra sp. MDLE-2018. RNAcentral's name for it is "partial 18S ribosomal RNA". It matches the Rfam family "Eukaryotic small subunit ribosomal RNA", at positions 1727 to 1831 of the family's 1831-position model. Lineage: Eukaryota; Viridiplantae; Streptophyta; Magnoliopsida; Fabales; Fabaceae. The record is from RNAcentral.